This 879-nucleotide long non-coding RNA is filed under the name Homo sapiens (human). RNAcentral describes it as "HSALNT0208651". The record is from RNAcentral. Lineage: Eukaryota; Metazoa; Chordata; Mammalia; Primates; Hominidae.
AUAAAAAAUCCCUCCAGUUACUCCUGGAAAUGAAGUGCCCUUUCUAUAAUUCUAUCUUGUACCAUUUUCCCCUCUAGGGCUACUUCUGGGCAUCCUGUGAGUCAAGAUGCUGAGACAUACAGUUUCACUUAUUUUUGACAUCCUGAAGGCAACUGGAUGUUUCAAGUUCAGAUGAUGAGAAAGGUCUCCAUAAAGGGCCAGCAGCAUGAAGUAGAAACUGAGUGUCUGCACAUGAUACAUACAGCAUCAGGCUGAAGCUGAGACACUGGGAAGGGUGAAAUGGAAGAAAAGAAAGAAGAAAAGAGACCAAGAGGACUGCUGGACACUCGGUGAAAGGGCUCUAUAAUGUGGGAAAGGUGGUACCAGGGAAUGAUUGCACCAAACUCUGGACUCAAGUGCAUUCCUGGUCUUUCUAAGAGAUGGUCUGAGCUUGUACACUUUUUUUUUUUAUUUGCAAAAGUUUCUAGCCGUACUGACAAAAUCACUUAAAAUAUCUGUCAACAUUUUGAUCUAGAGUUCUAGUCAAAUGCCAUCCUUCCACAUUCACUAUUCUUCUGCAGAUACUGUUAUUAAUAUGCUGUUUUUGAACUUCUGUGCACUGAAGAUUUUUAUUGAAAUCUAGGUCAUCUGAAAUGAAUUCCUCCAAAUAUCUUACUGUCUACUCAAAGUUUUUUUUUUACAUCCUUACCCACUCCCUGUUGUUGUUGUUUUUUUUUUUUUUUCACAGUAGCCUCUCCAUCAGCAUUCUCUAAGUCACCAUCACCUCACUAUUCCCACCACGCAUAUUUUUUAAAAAUUAAUUUUUAAAUUUGAAUCCCCAAGACCGGCUUGGGUUUCUUAUAAGGUGGCUUUUUUUGUUGGGGCCGGGGGAGUGGGGGA